GACGAACGCUGGCGGCGUGCUUAACACAUGCAAGUCGAACGCUGAAGCCCAGCUUGCUGGGUGGAUGAGUGGCGAACGGGUGAGUAACACGUGAGUAACCUGCCCCCUUCUUUGGGAUAACGCCCGGAAACGGGUGCUAAUACUGGAUAUUCACUGGCCUUCGCAUGGGGGUUGGUGGAAAGGUUUUUUCUGGUGGGGGAUGGGCUCGCGGCCUAUCAGCUUGUUGGUGGGGUGAUGGCCUACCAAGGCUUUGACGGGUAGCCGGCCUGAGAGGGUGACCGGUCACAUUGAGACUGAGAUACGGCCCAGACUCCUACGGGAGGCAGCAGUGGGGAAUAUUGCACAAUGGGCGAAAGCCUGAUGCAGCGACGCCGCGUGAGGGAUGACGGCCUUCGGGUUGUAAACCUCUUUCGCUCAUGGUCAAGCCGCAACAAUGGUUGUGGUGAGGGUAGUGGGUAAAGAAGCGCCGGCUAACUACGUGCCAGCAGCCGCGGUAAUACGUAGGGCGCGAGCGUUGUCCGGAAUUAUUGGUCGUAAAGGGCUUGUAGGCGGUUGGUCGCGUCUGCCGUGAAAUCCUCUGGCAUAACUGGGGGC
Molecule: ribosomal RNA, 594 nt
Filed under: uncultured Actinomyces sp.
Lineage: Bacteria; Bacillati; Actinomycetota; Actinomycetes; Actinomycetales; Actinomycetaceae
Description: bacterial SSU rRNA
Rfam family: Bacterial small subunit ribosomal RNA
Source: RNAcentral